RNAcentral lists this ribosomal RNA (149 nucleotides) under uncultured Lactobacillus sp. RNAcentral's name for it is "partial 16S ribosomal RNA". It matches the Rfam family "Bacterial small subunit ribosomal RNA", at positions 383 to 524 of the family's 1533-position model. The record is from RNAcentral. Lineage: Bacteria; Bacillati; Bacillota; Bacilli; Lactobacillales; Lactobacillaceae.
CUGAUGGAGCAACACCGCGUGAGUGAAGAAGGGUUUCGGCUCGUAAAACUCUGUUGUUGAAGAAGAACGUGCGUGAGAGUAACUGUUCACGCAGUGACGGUAUUCAACCAGAAAGUCACGGCUAACUACGUGCCAGCAGCCGCGGUAAU